CCUACCCUCAGGACGGGGAUACCCUCGGGAAACUGAGGCUAAUCCCAGAUAGAUGAGGGAUCCUGGAAUGGUUCCUCAUCCAAAAGGCACGCAUAUCAUGCUAUGUGUGUCGCCUGAGGAUGGGACCGCAUCCUAUCAGGUAGUUGGUGGGGUAACGGCCCACCAAGCCUAUAACGGGUACGGGCCCUGAGAGGGGUAGCCCGGAGAUGGGUACUGAGACAAGGACCCAGGCCCUACGGGGCGCAGCAGGCGCGAAACCUCCGCAAUGCGCGAAAGCGCGACGGGGCCACCCCGAGUGCCAUCCGCUGAGGGUGGCUUUUCCCUAGUGUAGUAAGCUAGGGGAAUAAGCGGGGGGCAAGUCUGGUGUCAGCCGCCGCGGUAAUACCAGCUCCGCGAGUGGUCGGGACGAUUAUUGGGCCUAAAGCGUCCGUAGCCGGCCUAAUAAGUCUCUGGUUAAAUCUCAAGGCUCAACCUUGAGAUCGCUGGAGAUACUGUUGGGCUAGGGGGCGGGAGAGGUUGAGGGUACUUCGCGGGUAGGGGCGAAAUCCUAUAAUCCGCGAAGGACCACCAGUGGCGAAGGCGCUCAACUGGAACGCGCCCGACGGUGAGGGACGAAAGCUAGGGGAGCAAAGGGGAUUAGAUACCCCCGUAGUCCUAGCCGUAAACGAUGCGGGCUAGGUGUUGGGUUGGCUUCGUGCCAACCCAGUGCCGCAGCGAAGGCGAUAAGC
RNAcentral lists this ribosomal RNA (728 nucleotides) under uncultured crenarchaeote. Its description in RNAcentral is "bacterial SSU rRNA". It matches the Rfam family "Archaeal small subunit ribosomal RNA", at positions 108 to 820 of the family's 1478-position model. The record is from RNAcentral. Lineage: Archaea; Thermoproteati; Thermoproteota.